Molecule: long non-coding RNA, 999 nt
Organism: Magnolia sinica
Lineage: Eukaryota; Viridiplantae; Streptophyta; Magnoliopsida; Magnoliales; Magnoliaceae
Exons: 4
Source: RefSeq, a predicted model, not a curated record
CUCCCAAUUACAGGAGCUUUCUAUGAAGAGUAUGUACAGAGUAACACAAAGCUUGGUUACACAGACACGAAUCAAAGGCCACAUCAUCCGAAGGUUACCCACAUGCUCUUUGAAGAGUUUGGGAAGAUUCCCUACAGUGGAAAAGUCAUGUUCCCAAGGCCUAACAAAGGCAAAAGAAGGCUAUUAAAAAUGGAGAAUUCAUGUUUCGACAAGUUGGAGCAGGAGUUCGAGCCUACUACCUACUUCGAUGAAUAGAGGGAGCAGAGUUUUGGAGGGAGCCAUGCUACUUGAGCUGCUUUGCUUGGCAAUUCGGGUAUGUCCGGGUCAUGACAAUGAUAGUGGGCCUUCUAAAGAGAUUCGUCUGACAGUGUGAUACUGGACUUGUUCACUGGGGUUAUAUUUGGAGGCAAGUGCUGACUAAAAACAUAAGUGCCUAGUUUGUCGUUCUUGGGCAAGGAAGGAUGGACAAGGCAUCCUAUCAAUGGAUAUGGUGGUGGGCUCACUGGUAUAAGCUGGUUCGUCGCCUUGUGUCUUAAAAAGCGGAGAUCUGGGUGCUGCCACCCAGAAUCAGCCCGUCAAAACUUCCUCCCAAGGACGUGGGCUAUGUCGAAGAGCUUGAAGAGCAAGCACCGUCCCAAGGGACCCUUUGUGUGCUGAUUUCCUAUGUCAAAGCCUUCCUUGCCAAUCAAGACGAUUGUCUCCUAGAUAGUUGGGUAGCAGUCAAAGAUAGGAAGCACUUAAAAGGCACACAGGGAAGAGGAUGAGGAAGAAGAAGCUGAAGUUGAAACUAGAUGUGCGAGAUCAGUUUUCUUAAUGGAAAGCCCCUAGCGCCAGGUGUAAAUGUUGUAGUAAGUCUACGCUCUUGCUCUAGAGAGUCAAGCUAAUGAGACUCAUCUCUGGUGUUUGCCCCCAUAGUCCUUUGGUGGGCUUAAGGAGAGUAUUGUGUCUUGGUGUGAAUGUUGUGACAAGUUUGCGCCUAGGCACAAGGCUUGAGUCCAU